UUUUUUUUUGGUUUUGUUUCCUGUU
This 25-nucleotide small RNA is filed under the name Arabidopsis thaliana (thale cress). Its description in RNAcentral is "ATSL137460". Lineage: Eukaryota; Viridiplantae; Streptophyta; Magnoliopsida; Brassicales; Brassicaceae. The record is from RNAcentral.